UACUCUUAAUCUCUUUAGUUAUGCAAUUUACUUUAUUAUUCGUGAUUAUGUCUUUGAGUAUGUUGUCUGAGUAGUGACUUAGAGUUCUUAAGGAUGGGAUAAAAUUGUUGUGGGAUCCGUAGUCUUUUAGAUGGUUAAGUGUUAGAAUUGAUUGAAUCCCUUCUGGACUAGUUGUGUUUUCUGCUUAUUUCUGUCUGAUCAACUGGAAUU
RNAcentral lists this long non-coding RNA (210 nucleotides) under Arabidopsis lyrata. Its description in RNAcentral is "long non-coding RNA (ALYR_LNC002003)". The record is from RNAcentral. Lineage: Eukaryota; Viridiplantae; Streptophyta; Magnoliopsida; Brassicales; Brassicaceae.